GGGAUGCGCGCCUGGGUGUAGUUGUGGGGGAGGAAGUGGCUAGCUCAGGGCUUCAGGGGACAGACAGGGAGAGAUGACUGAGUUAGAUGAGACGAGGGGGCGGGCUGGGGGUGCGAGAAGGAAGCUUGGCAAGGAGACUAGGUCUAGGGGGACCACAGUGGGGCAGGCUGCAUGGAAAAUAUCCGCAGGGUCCCCCAGGCAGAACAGCCACGCUCCAGGCCAGGCUGUCCCUACUGCCUGGUGGAGGGGGAACUUGACCUCUGGGAGGGCGCCGCUCUUGCAUAGCUGAGCGAGCCCGGGUGCGCUGGUCUGUGUGGAAGGAGGAAGGCAGGGAGAGGUAGAAGGGGUGGAGGAGUCAGGAGGAAUAGGCCGCAGCAGCCCUGGAAAUGAUCAGGAAGGCAGGCAGUGGGUGCAGGGCUGCAGGAGGGCCGGGAGGGCUAAUCUUCAACUUGUCCAUGCCAGCAGCCCCUUUUUUUCCAGACCAAGGGCUGUGAACCCGCCUGGGGAUGAGGCCUGGUCUUGUGGAACUGAACUUAGCUCGACGGGGCUGACCGCUCUGGCCCAGGGUGGUAUGUAAUUUUCGCUCGGCCUGGGACGGGGCCCAGGCCGGGCCCAGCCUGGUGGAGCGUCCAGGUCUGGGUGCGAAGCCAGGCCCCUGGGCGGAGGUGAGGGGUGGUCUGAGGAGUGAUGUGGAGUUAAGGCGCCAUCCUCACCGGUGACUGGUGCGGCACCUAGCAUGUUUGACAGGCGGGGACUGCGAGGCACGCUGCUCGGGUGUUGGGGACAACAUUGACCAACGCUUUAUUUUCCAGGUGGCAGUGCUCCUUUUGGACUUUUCUCUAGGUUUGGCGCUAAACUCUUCUUGUGAGCUCACUCCACCCCUUCUUCCUCCCUUUAACUUAUCCAUUCACUUAAAACAUUACCUGGUCAUCUGGUAAGCCCGGGACAGUAAGCCGAGUGGCUGUUGGAGUCGGUAUUGUUGGUAAUGGUGGAGGAAGAGAGGCCUUCCCGCUGAGGCUGGGGUGGGGCGGAUCGGUGUUGCUUGCCUGCAGAGAGGGUGGGGAGUGAAUGUGCACCCUUGGGUGGGCCUGCAGCCAUCCAGCUGAAAGUUACAAAAAUGCUUCAUGGACCGUGGUUUGUUACUAUAGUGUUCCUCAUGGCGAGCAGAUGGAACCGGGAGACAUGGAGUCCCUGGCCAGUGUGAGUCCUAGCAUUGCAGGAGGGGAGACCCUGGAGGAGAGAGCCCGCCUCAAUUGAUGCCUGCAGAUUGAAUUUCCAGAGGCUUAGGAGGAGGAAGUUCUCCAAUGUUCUGUUUCCAGGCCUUGCUCAGGAAGCCCUGUAUUCAGGAGGCUACCAUUUAAAGUUUGCAGAUGAGCUUAUGGGGGGCAAUCUUAAAAAGUCCACAGCAGAUGCAUCCGGCUCGAGGGGCCAUCAGCUUUGAAUAAAUGCUUGUUCCA
Molecule: long non-coding RNA, 1457 nt
Filed under: Homo sapiens (human)
Lineage: Eukaryota; Metazoa; Chordata; Mammalia; Primates; Hominidae
Description: non-protein coding NEAT1:10
Rfam family: Nuclear enriched abundant transcript 1 conserved region 3 (bases 1146-1304)
Source: RNAcentral